This 909-nucleotide long non-coding RNA is filed under the name Mustela putorius furo (domestic ferret). Its description in RNAcentral is "lncRNA (ENSMPUG00000025109.1)". Lineage: Eukaryota; Metazoa; Chordata; Mammalia; Carnivora; Mustelidae. The record is from RNAcentral.
GGGCUAGCCAGCCGGUUGAGCACCGGACUGCUGGGGCCAUCCUUCAGCUAGUUGGUGAAAGCUUCUUAAGAAUAAAGUCACAGGGAGGAGAACAGAGCUGAGAGAUGGAGAGAAACCAAACAGCGAUGACAGAGUCCCUGGAACCACCCAGGCCUCAUGCCAGCAGCACUAUCUCUGGACUUUACAAUUAUUCAGAGGACUGGCUGGGUGGCUCUGCUUUGGGCCACAGGGUUGGUUCAGGUUUGCCGCAAAUGUCUUGCAUUCUAAGACCAGGGGCGAUUCAGGGCAUGUCGUUCUUACCGCAGCUGGAAGAAGCGCAGGAGCCCAGUUCUAUUCACAUCAUAACUCCUAACAUUACACAGGCCAAGUGUCUGGAACCAAACCCCCGAUGUCUCCAAGGUAUACCUAUGUACACUGAACAGGCCAGCAAGCAGGAGGCCUCAGAUGCCCAACUUCAUCUCAGAGCUGAUUUCUUUUGCCAGGGUUGGAACCCAACAGUAGCCAUCUGCUGGCACGUGGAGCAUCAGGAAGAAGCAGAAAUGGGCAGAGCCAAGGCAGGUGUCCUGGUCCUAGCUGGAUUUAAGCCUGAAGCUUGUCACCCCUUGGAUUUAUAGAUAUCAAUACAUUUCUUCCCCCGUCACUACCCUUAACUAGCUGCCUGAGCAUGUUUUGGUUUAAUGGCAAAACCAUUUCUUCUCGAGUUGGCAAAUUUCCUUCCAGCGUCUCAAGGCCACCUUAACCACCCUUCCCGUGAUGGGGUGAGCCCUCUGUCCCCUGGCCAAGUUGAGCAGGACCACGCUGAAUGGACCUGUUUCCAUGUCACCUCAAUGACAGGACCUGUCUUCCCUUUAACACUGUAGCCAGGGCCCAGCAUCCAGUAGGCGCUCACUAAAUGCUGAUUGGAGAAAU